Molecule: long non-coding RNA, 1427 nt
Filed under: Heterocephalus glaber (naked mole-rat)
Lineage: Eukaryota; Metazoa; Chordata; Mammalia; Rodentia; Bathyergidae
Description: lncRNA (ENSHGLG00000040582.1)
Source: RNAcentral
GAUAAUUUAUUUUCCCUCUUCAUAAUCCUAAAUUCUAGUUCCUGGGUACAUUAAUACAUCCCAACACCUAACAACAAACUGCCCUUGUUUUGAAACAGACUGAUGCUGCUGUUUUAGGGAUAUAAAGUCUUGGUUCAAAACAUUUUCAGGCAAAAAAUUGUAAAACCAUUCAGUUGAACAGAUGUGCUUUAGUACUGAUGAUGUAGAGAUGCAAAGGUGAGAGCAACAUCAUCUUUGCCAUCGGGAAGCAUCCACUCUAAAUGUUUUAGUCACAGGGCUGUGUGUUCACACCAUGAAUUGUGAGAUCCCCAUGUUUACAAAGGAAAAUUCUUCCUAUGAGUCUCCCUGUUGCUAGGUAUCUUACUUUCUUGUCUCUGGGACAAUAUACCUGACAUCCACAACUUAAAAGAGGAAAGGCUUGUUUUGGCUCACAGUUCUUUCAUAGAGGUUUCAGUCCAUGGUUGGCUGCCUCCGAGGCAGAAGAGCAUGGCAGAGGAGAACAGCACAUGACAUGGAAGAAGGAAGCAAAGCGAUCAGGGGAGGAGGGAGGGAGACAGACUUGCCAGGCAGUGCCUCCAGUGACCCACCUCUUCCAACCAGGCUUCACAUCCCAAGUCAUCAGAGGAGCAACCCACCAAUAAGUAUCAUGCCCCUAGGGUCCAUUCACAUCCCCAAAGCCCCACAUAUGAGCACAUGAGGCUUUGAGAGUAUAAACCAUAGCACUAGGUUUUUUUUUUUUUUUUUAAAUAAAUCCUCCCAUUAUCAUGACUUCAUUUGGUUUAUUGUGGUGUUUUAUCUUUUUUCUUUUCCUUCUUCCCAGUGUUGAAAAAGAAGAGUUCUAUUAAUGCCCAGCAUUUAUCCAGUGGCAGUGUAUGUACAAUACCCUAAUCAGGAACCCAGAGCCUUAAGAAAAUUUCAUUUCUAGAGCAACAAGAUUGGAGUUCAUUACGUCCAGACUUGAUCUCUGUCCCUUAACCUGUGGAUACAAAGGGCUGACUGUAUAUAAUAUGAAUUAAAUAGGAUCAGCAUGAUAUCAGACUUCAUUUAAAGUUACUACCUCCAGUUAUGGACCCAAAACCGAUGAAGCUGAAACAUCCCAGGACACCACAGCAAUCACACGGGAUGGCCAGGAUGUCUUCAGUUACCCAGAGAAACAUCUGUCAGACACCGCGUGACCUUCUAGCUGGAGAAACUAUAACACUACUACAAUCAAUCCUUAAAUUGUCCGCACUGCAUUUAGAAGUUCUGGAAAAUACUAGAUUUUAAACUUGUGAACUAAGAUCAUUCAAUAUGGUCAGUGUUCCCAGAUGAAACCUUAAUCAUGUACAACACCUAGGAAAGAUGUCGGCAAAGAAACAGUUCUAAUCUAAAUCAGGUCUCGGCCCAAGGAGGAAGAAGGCUCUUUAAAGGACAUUUCUCUUUCCGAC